Molecule: unclassified non-coding RNA, 17 nt
Filed under: Mus musculus (house mouse)
Lineage: Eukaryota; Metazoa; Chordata; Mammalia; Rodentia; Muridae
Description: oocyte_clustered_small_RNA3807
Source: RNAcentral
GUGGUGUCCACUGUAGG